CCAAAAUCAGAGCCUGACACAGAGGUAGCAAGUGCACUUUCUUUAUAACAAGCAACAGAGGAAACUCGAUUAGAACAAGUUUUCCUCAGAAGAGCCACCAUUAAGAUGGGUCACAUAAUAUCUGUAUUUGUCAGGGAGCUGCCUGCUUGGUAUAUAUUUGGUGGGAUAUUCCUACCAGUUGCAAUACUUCUCCUUGGCAUCAUGCGAUAUUUAUGGAUACAGCUUGAAGAAGGUAGGUUUAUUGGUCACAAAUUGCACCAUGACUGCCGUUUCAAGGGAUAUUUUCCACAACUGCCAUGCUAAUAGUCUUGUAAUCACAAAACUGGCUUUGCAUCAUGGUAGAUACUCCAAAAGAUGGUAAUGAUUGUUUAGGUACCAAAAUAAGAUAAUAUCCUUUUAUUACGUUAGUUGUUAUAAUAUAUUCGUAUUUCAUUGGUCUUUUCCUGGAAUUAUUUAUGAUUAUGUAAAAAUAAUGUUACCGAAAAACUAUAUUUAAAGAAAACAAAAAUAUUAUAACUAAUCUUAAUAUGUAUGAUGUUAAAAUGAUAAAUUAAUCUAAAAUUUCACCUCACCUGCAUAUGUGUGAAAUUAUGCUGAUUGCUGAUGAUAUUGCUGAUCUUUUAGUUAAUUAUGCAAAUUAUACUAUGUAUUUCAUAUACAUUUUAUGUAAACUUUCAACUGCACCUGUGUGUUAAUUAUGCUGUGACAUUCGAAGUAAAACACAAAUGUAUUAUGUUGUGAAAUUUAGUAUAGAUUAUAUCAUAUUUGUGGGUGUUUUGUUUGGUGUUUGUUUCUGUUUUGUAUUUGGUUAAUAGAUUUUUCCCAUACAGUAAUUAUGAUUAAGGCAUCUUUAAAUAGAAUUAACACUGGAGUUAGAUUCUCUACAAUUGCAAUUACAUUACUGGUUUUAUAAAUUUGUCACAAUUUAAAUUACCAUUGUUUAUAUGAAAGAGUUCUGAAAAGAUUUAAUCUGCAUCUGUUUAGAAAACCUGCAGGGUCAUUCAUUGAACGGGAAAAGUUUAGGAAUUUACUUGGAAGUUUGAUGGAAGGCUUCGACGAUUGUUCUCAUUCUGUUAUUUUGGCCUAUCAUUUAAAAUUUCUGGUCACUUCCUAGAGACUUUGGAUUAUGUGAUUAUUGUUGCAGGGGUAAUAUGACACUACUUAGUGUUAGGCUAACGUAAUUCACUAAAUUCAGAAUUGUAGUGAAUUGAAAUCCUAAUGUCAAUAUUUAGGUUUGGAUAUCCAUGCUGAAGGGCAAAGGAAUAGGACUAGACACAUAAAGAUGGUUCCGGCAGAUUUAUUAGAGUCCAUUCAACUUUAUGGCAUUAAAAAUAGUAUUUCUUGAGCUUUGCUCUGCUGGUCAAUUGGGCUUGUUUUUGGCAUUGACAAGCGGCAUCCUGAUGCUAUUUACAGUAAGUGCAUCCUAUUCCUUUAUAUAAGAUAUCCAAGCUUUGACUGUAACUAAGUGGGAGGCUUUUUCCAUAUCAUAUUAUUAAACCUUCCUUAUACUAAUAUGGGAGUCAUAAUUCCCCCAUAUGCUUAUCCUUUUAUUUUAUUUUUAUUUUUUUAAAUGACAACUGGCUCACUAAAGCUGGUUAGCUGCAACAUGUUUACGCAACCAAGGGAAUUUUUAUUAAUAUUUGUCUGUUGGCUACUAGUGCUUCCAGUGGGCAAAUAGUGGGAUUUUUUUAAAUUGGGGGGGAGGGGGAGGUUGGGAAGGGGAAUAUAACCAUUUUGGUUCAUCCAAAUGUUUCCUAAAAUAAUUGUCUGGAUGAAAUCUCUAUGUAUAUAUGUGACUUUAUGUAUAUGUAUGAGUCAAUAAUUUCUAGUAUUGCUAAGUGAAUAAAAAGUAGGCAUGCACAUGGAGAACUAUUUUUCUGGUCAUUAGCUCAGACACAUUUUUUUAAUUUUUUUUUACUGAUUUUAAUUCACAUGCAUAUUGUUUUAGGCUGAAAGUUAUUUAACAUUUUAACUAAUUUUGUUCAAUAAUUAAUAUCUGUUGCAUAGGACUUAAGUCAGGCAGGAUUAAUAAAAAAAAAAAUAAACCAGUACAAUAAAUGAAUAAAAUAAAUAAAGCAAACAAUUAAAUGUAAUAUUGUAUUUUAUUUAUUUUUUCUUGUACAAAAAGGCUAAUGGGUGGUUAUAGCUAAAUAGCUAUGCAACUUGCAUAUGUAAUAAUAUGCGUAUGCACUGCAAUUGCCUGCACACUUUGCAAUCCGUUCAAUGCACAGUGCAAAUACACAGCCAGUUUAAAAUAAGAGAUGAAAGUGAGCUAAGAAGGGACAGAGGUGGCAGACUGGUAGAUGGGCAGUCACUUUUUUGUUUUUCUACAUUCUUUAUUUUUAUUGUGCUUAAAUGUGUUAAGGACAAAUUAACAUUAGUAUAAGUAAAAGAAAACAACAUUAGCAAGUAACACAUCCCGAAGGAGGCAACCGCCUCGACUAUUAGCCCAUUUUAUGAGUCCUAGUAAAGAGGGACCCCUCUUAUUUUCAAAUUAUACCGCCUCUUCUUCUAUAGCAUCCACUUUAUCAUUGGUGGCAUAUUGUUGUUUUUGUAGGCCCUCAUGUUUUUGUUCUAUGGAGGUUAUCCUGGUAUCAUGGAUGCUUGUAAUUGCCUUCAGUAGGUUGAUCCGAGUAGUAGUGCCCUCCAUGGUGUCUUUGAUGUAGGCCAUGUCAGGUGCAAUAUUUGUUCUAAGCUCAGCCAGCAUCUGUAUCAGCUGCUCCGCCAUGACCGGAUCGCCAUCAGAGGGUUUCCUGAUGAGUGGGCCCCUUGGCAGGCUAUGGGAUCAUCCUGCUCCCAGAUCAAAGAGGUUAUCCUCUGAGGAGCAUGAUGAUUCUUCCUCCUACAGCCCCAUCUUGACCCAGGGCAUGCGCUGCAAGCUUCACAGGAGUUCUCCUAUAUCGCGGGUCGUUGGGCCCUUGUGACACCCUAAAUUUCUUAUUUUUUCACCCCAUGGACACUUCCCACAGUGGGGAAGGGGUCUAUUAGUCCGGUGUGAUCCUAAUUACUCCACCAAAGCCUCAAUUUCUCAGCCAUUAGACUCAAAGCUCUCCGUUAAACUGCAAACUCGACCCCAGGCAGUCACUUUAAUAUCAGGAUCCAGUAAACCAACAAAACACUACUGUGCUUUACAGGAAGAAUCAUUGCAGUGGAACACUACAUCCAACAACCCCUAAAGGGACAGCGAAAGAUGAAUCAGAGGCAAAUAAAGAAAGGUGGAAGACUGACAGAAAGGAGUCGCUUUUUAUUAGGUCCCUGCAACAGUGCUAAUCAAAUGCUGCAGUAACUAGAAUCCACUGGGCCAAUGAUGUGUAACUAGAAUCCACUGGGUGGCCCCUCCUCAAUGGUGUCUUAUUCACUCCCUCCAAACCCCCCCAUCCCCACCCCCCCGGUGUCUCAUUUCUCCCUGUCAUUUUAUGUGUAUGGCCGUCCAGUAAAUGUACUCCAUUACUCAAGAUCUUAGGAUUUCCAAUUGAUCCACUUGCCAGUGGAGAUAAGCUUGCUGUUCUUUUUUAUAUGUAAGUGCAACCUUGAAUUAAAUAUCUGUUCUUUGAGGAUUAGUCUUUUGGAAGACGCUAGCCAUCUCAAGACACCCCCGAGGGGAGAUAGGCACAUAUCAUUUAUCAUCUUGUAAGUUCUCUACCUCCUGGAGCAAUCGUCUACUCAAUAUGUAUUUCAACGUAUUCAGUGGUUUUUUUACUUCUAGUUUAUAUAUUAUCUUCACACCCAUCCUGAUUCUCAGGUUGUAUCCAUCUUUUAUAUCCUUUGUGUAUUUUACAACCCCCUACUUUAUACUUCCCCAUGGGGUGUAUAAUUUUUGUGUUGGUUCAUUCCCCUCAGUGUCUCUUUCCCAUGCUCAGCCCCCCCCCCCCAUGUGUCUCAUUCCCUCGACCCUAUAGCCCCUCUAUGUGUCUCAUUUCCUCGCCCCCACCAUGUGUCCCAUUCCCUCUCACCUAAGCCCCUCCAGGUUUCCCAUGCACUCCUCCCUCCAAGCCCCCUCCAUGUGUCCAAUUUCUCCCUCUGCCCCUCCCUGUGUCCCAUUUCUACCUCCCUCCCCCCUCCCUUCUAUGUGUCCCAUUCUUUGCUCUCUCCCUCUCCCAUCCAUGUGUCCCAUACCCUCCCUCUCUCCCCCUCCCCUCCAUAUGUCCCAUACCCUCUCUCACUCUUUAUCUCCCUUCAAUGUGUCCCAUACCCUCUCUCACUCCCUUCCAUGUGUCCCAUAUCCUCUCUCACUCCUUUCCAUGUGUCCCAUAUCCUCUCCACCCCCCCUCCCUUCCAUGUGUCCCAUUGUUCCCUCUCUCCUGCUCCCUUCCAUGUGUCCCAUUGUUCCCUCUAACCUCCCUCCACUCCAGGUGUCCUUUACCUCCCCCCCCCACCCUCCCUAUGUCCCAUUUUUCUACCUCUCUCCCCCUUCCACUCUUUUGUCCCAUUCCUACCUCUGCCUCCCCUCCAGUACCAGCAUUUCUCUGCCACGGCUUCCGGUCUGACAGAAAGUGCUCUCUGUCUGCUCGGCCAGGCUACAUAAAGGCAAGAGGGGAGCAGCACAGCACAGCUCUCCCCUCCUGACAGCCGGCAUCAGGACCUUCCUUUGUAUAUCACAAACAUUCUGUAUACAUGCAGCAUAUUAAUUAUGUAUACAUGCAGGAUAUAUAUUCUAUAUACAUGCAUGUGAUUUUCCUCUGUACUACAUUAGGGAGGAUCUGUGUUCACUAGAUGGCUUUCCUAUUUUGGUAUCCUUAAAGAUGGAAAUCUCACAUUUAGAACAUGUGUCGCAUAUAGUUACAAAACAUUAUUCAACCCCCAUUAAAAAUCUGCUUUAUUGUCAAAAUGUAUAGACAUUCAGCUGUUUGCAAUGAACAAAUCAAACAAAAGCAAACAGUUCAAUACAACAAAUGCUUCAAGUGGUUUCCACAAAUUCAACUGAAAAUGCAACUUAUAAUGACUUCUCCAGUCUCAAAAUUAUCCAACUCCUUCAUGACAAACAUACUUAGUAGAGCACCCGUUUGCUGUUAUGACCUGCUGAAAACGAGAUGCAUAGCCAGACACCAGAUUCUCGCAGCUUUCCAAUGGCCUCCAGUUCAGUAAUAUUCUUGGAUUUGUGUGCUGCAACCACCUUCUUCAAAUCCACCAGAGAUCUUCUAUGGGAUUAAAGUCAGGUGACUGCGAUGGCCACUAUAGAAUUGUCCAGGACUUCUUCUGCAACCAAACCUUGGUAGACUGUUUGCUUGGGAUAAUUGUCUUGUGGGAAGUUCCCAAGCUUUGCCCAAGCUUCAGUUUGCCCAAGCUUCAGUUUCCUCACAGAAGGCAUGAUGUUUUCUCCUAGGAUUUCCUGAUACUUCAAUGAAUUCAUCUGGCCUUCCACACACAGAAUCCCCAAACAUCUGUAGCUUGGAGUUCUGGCAUGGAAACGUUUUGUGUUCAGUAUUUGCCUUUCUGUGCUCACUGAAACCUCAAUGCCUGUUUCCACCAAGACUUACUGCAAUUAUUUUGCAGUCAGUUUAUAUAUACACAAAAUUACAUAAAUAAUUUCUUAAAUAUACAUUUAGUCCAGAGAAUUUAAUUUGCUAGCACUGUAUUUAACCUUGUAACUUUCAAUGACACCCUAAAACCUGUACAUAGGGGGUACUGUUUUACUCGGGAGACUUCACUGAACACAAAUUAGUGUUUCAAAACAGUAAAAUAUAUCACAGCGAUGAUAUUGUCAGUGAAAGUAAAGUUUUUUGCAUUUUUCACACACAAACGGCACUUUCACUGAUAUAAUUGUUUCGAUACGUUUUACUGGUUUAAAACACUAAUAUUUGUGUUCAGCAAAGUCUCCUGAGUAUAACAGCACCCCAUCCAAAUAUAAGUGUCACUUUUUUAUAUUGAAAAUUGCCAGGUUGUAUGUCUCUUUCACCCCAUCCCUUCUGCAUGUCUCUUGCCCACAAAACCCUUUUGUGUAUCUUCUUCCACUUCACCAGUGCCUCUGUGUGACUCUUUCAUCCCCUAUCCCCAUUGUAUCUCUUCCUCCCUAAACUCCAUUGUGUGUCUCACCCCCUACCCAUUUGUGUGUCUCACCCCCUAUGCAUUUGUGUGUCUCACCCCCUACCCAUCUGUGUCUCACCCUCCCCUCCACACUUCUGUGUGUCUCUGCCUCCACACUCUGUGUGUCAUUUUCCCCACGGUCCCUAUGUGUGUUUCUUGUUCCCCUUCUCCAGCCCAUCUGUGUGUCUUUCUCCACCAAGUCCCUUUUGUGUCUCCCCCAAGCCCCUUUUGUGUCUCCUCCCAAGCCCCUUUUGUGUCUCCCCCCAUGUCCCUCUAUGUGCCACCCCAAGCCCCUCUGUGUGCCCCCCCAAGCCCCUCUGUGUGUCUUUCCCACUUGCAGCCCCGUUCACCGUUCCUCCUUGUAGUGUGCCCCCCUGUACCACAAUAUAGGAUCUUGUGUAUCCUCUACCUGAUCUAACAGGAAGCUGCUCAUUGCUUCCAGGGAGCAUUUUUCUGUCAGACCCGGUAGAGGAUACAGAAGAUCCACUACUGUCACCGUUUACCAGGAGUUGGAGCCCAGGUGCAGGAGAUGACUCCAGGAGAAGGCAAAGACCAAAGCACAGUACAGAUGAAGGGGUAAUCCAAAGGCAGGGUCAGACGAGAAGCAGAAGUCAGGGCUGGCAGCGUAGUAUUGUUGUCAGUAAGGCUGGCAGAGGUCAGAGUCCAGAAAAUCAGUCAGCAGAGUAACAGAUCCGACAGGAAAAACCAAACAAACAAAACAACCAGAUACCAGGCCUCAGGCAGAGCUGGCUUUACAGCCUGCUGAUUAGGAGCAGCUGACCCUAGUAGGUAAGGGGCUGCAGGUGGAUCAGCACUGCUCCAUUCAGGCAAGGAGUCAGGAAGCAGACAAAUACAGGUACAUACUGAAGCCCCCUAGUGGACAGCAAGGUAGAGAACCUGACUUUGAUGCAGAAAAUCAAUAACAAAGGAAGCAAGUUAUUUUUUAGGUAUUUUCUUCAGUCGGAUAAUAAAGAGCACAUCAAAGUCACCUUUUCUUUUUAUCUCUGGUAAGUAUUGCUGAUUCGAAUAACUCAAGGUCUUCUUUACUGAUGAUAGAGCCAAUGUAAGUUCUUGUCAGAUCGGGGGACAGUUUGGAAUUGGUAGCCUUACAGUAGACACUUUUAGCCUUUUUCUGUAGGAUUGGUUCAUUUGACUUAUUUACAAGACCAGCUAUGAUAGUGAGUGGCUCUGAAGAUUUUGGUGCAUUACAAUCCCUGGACUGUCCAUUGUAAAGGGAAUCCAGUUUAGGCUCAGACAGGGACUCGGGGUCUGUGUAGGCCUCUGAAUCAUCAGGAUUCGAGAGUGUUGGAACUUUUUGCAGGUUGUCCGCAUUCUUGGAAAUGGCAGUGGAGGCAAGGAGCAGCAACCAUCUGAGGGGAUGCGGCUCUGGCCUUAAGAGCCUGUUCAAAGACCUCUAGAUCUUCUUCGUGGACCACAGUUCCAUUGGAGGCAAUUACAUAGUCUGGGGACAGGAAACCUUAGGGGAACCAGAGGCUGAGGAUUGGAAGGUAGCCACAGCAGCAUCAUUUUGAGGCUCUGGAACAGGAGCAGGGUUAGCUGGGACCACGAUGGUGCCAUUGGUCUGGUUAGGUGGUCUUUUUUGUCCGGACGCAUGAAGAGUAGAACAAUAAAGGUGCCAUGGAGGACUUGUUGGAUGGUGACAGUCCCCACAUGGCCAUGCUUAGGGCGAGGAGGACGUACAGGACAAUAGCUGAUGUAGUGGCCUAUCUUGACACAAUAGAAGCAAAGGCCUUUGGCUAUCCUUCUGGCCUUUUCAUUUACCAUGAGCAUGGUAUUCAGUGUUCCAAUUUGCAUGGGUUCCUCUAUGUCCAUGUUGGGGAUAGGGGUAUAGGUCUCACCUACAGGUUUGGAACAUUGAUCGGGCAGAAAAUUGGUUUCAAAUUGCUCCUGCUUUCUUUCUCUGAACCGGCGGCCUACCUGGGUGACAACAUAUCUUCCAAAGAAGUAUUUACCCCAAUUCUGGCUAGUUCAUCUUUUAAUGCCUCAGAUAGACCCAGUCAGUACUGUUCUAUCAGGCCGGUUUCAUUAUAACAGGUGCCAGAAGCCAAUUCCCGAUCGUGCUGCCCCUGCAGCAGUGAUCGCUCUGACAGAAAAGUUUUAAGAAAGUUUAGGAAAGUUUAAAAAAAAUUAAUAAGCAAAUAAAUUAUGUAAAAAAUUUUUUAAAAAAUUUAAAAAAUACAUUAAAAAAUGCUCAUUACCACUACACCUGGAACAAACUAUAGAAAAAUUUAUCCCACGCUAAGGUUCAAAAUACACCUUUUGAAUUACCCCAGCGUGUAAUCUUUAAUAAAUAGUAUGUGUUUGUGGGGAAGUUUCAAUAACCAACCAUCUAAACUACUCCAAAAUUGAACAUGGACACAGCGUAAAACUUCAAAGUUAGAAAAAAACUGAAAGGCUAUAUCUCAAAUGUGCCCCUUAUACCUCCACAUAUAGACAUAGCUGAGCAACAUAUGUAGUCAGUGGUGUAUCCUGGUUUUGUGCUGCCCUAGGCAGGACAAAACUCAGGUGCCACCCCCACCCAACCCUUCCUCCCUGCCCCGCCUUCUAAAUACACACACACAUUCACUCACAGACACACACUCACUUACAGACAUACACACACACUCACUUACAGACAUACACACACACAGUCAGACACACACACUAGCUAACAGACACACACUAAAAGACACACACACACUAACAGACACACACACGCUAACAGACACACACACACACACUAACAGACACACACUAACAGACACACACACACACUAGCAGACAGACACACACUCACUAACAGACACACACACACACACUUUUUUUAUUUAACCCCCCCCCCAGCCUCCUUACCUUUAGGAAUGCUGAGGGGGGUUCUCCCUCUCCAUGGGGCUGCCGGUCGGGCGGGCGGCGCUGGCGAGGGAGCACUUUCCCCUGAGCGCUCUGCUCAGCUCCGUCAUAUUGCGGCUCCCAGCAUCUCUUUGCGGCUUGCGAGGGAGCUGAGCAGACAGCUCAGGGGAAAGUGCACCCUCGCCGGCCAGCCGCCAGCUCCGACCGAUUGACCGACCAGCAGCCCACCUGGCUUCACAGUUAGCCACCAGGCUAACAAGACAUUUGCCCUGGGCAUUUGGGGCAGCUUUUUUUGUAGCCCCCUGGAAAAUGCCGCCCAAGGCAAAUGCCUUGUUUGCCUCGCGGCUAAAGCAUCCCUGUAUGUAGUAUUAUACAGUCGUAGCACACAUAAGGUUUGCAAAAUAUACUGUGCAAACUCACUUUGUGUGUCAAGGCAGAAAAAAACGCUUAUUACCACUACACUUGGUACAAGCUAGCGGAAAAAUCAUCCCACGCCAAGGUUCAAAAUAUGCCUUUUGAAAUACCCUGGGAUGUCUUCUUUAAGAAAUGGUAUGACUUUAUGGGGUAUUUGGAUUAUAUAGCCUGGUAAAAUACUCUAAAAUGGGGCAUGAGCACAGUGUAAAAAUUGAAAGUUUGAAAAAAAACUGGAAUGACUGUCUCAAAUGUGCCCCUUCCAUGUCCACAUAUACCUGGCAAAGGUACUUAUGAGGUUAUUGCUGAACUCAGACGACAUAGCUGAGAAACAUAUGAAGUAUUAUACAGUCAUAGCACACAUACGAUUUGCAAAAUAUACUGUGCAAACUCACUUUGUGGGUCAAAAAGGCAGAAAAAACGCUUAUUACCACUACACUUGGUACAAGCUAGCGGAAACAUUAUCCCACGCUAAGGUUCAAAAUAUGGCUUUUGAAAUACCCUGGGAUGUCUUCUUUAAGAAAUGGUAUGCCUUUAUGGUGUAGUUGUAAUAUGUAGCCUGCUCAAGUGCUCCAAAGUGGGACACGGACGCAUUAAAACCCUCCAUGAAAAAUCACACUUAAAAACCUGAACUUCUCACGUCUCUUUUAAAACACUGUAACUUCACAAAAUAGUGUCUAGGUCAUACAUUGGGCAUAUUGUUUUACUCAGAAGGUGUAACUAAGUAUAAUUUGGAGAUUUUUAUGACAGUGGUACAUAUUAAGUGUAUGAAAUACUCGGCAAAAAUGGCAUCCCCCCCCCCCCUCACCACAAACAUUGACAUAAAUUGGUGAAAAAGUGGUGACAAGUUAAGGCACAAUAUACACCAUAUAAGAUUCGCCAGAUUGGUUACGUUGCCUUUGAGACUGUAUGGUAGCUCAGGAAUGAGAAUUACCCCCAUGAUGGCAUACCAUUUGCAAAGUAGACAACCCAAGGUAUUGCAAAUGUGGUAUAUGUCUAGUCUUUGUUAGUAGCCACUUAGUCAGAAACACUGGCCAAAGUUAGUGUUAAUAUAGCCACUGGCCAAAGUUAGUGUUAAAAUAUUGUUUGUAUGUGAAAAAUUUAAAAAACGAAUUUGAACACCAAUUCUGGCCAGUGUUUGUGACUAAGUGGCUACUAAAAAAGACUGGACAUACCCCAUUUGCAAUACCUUGGGUUGUCUACUUUUGCAAAUGGUAUGUCAUCAUGGGGGGGAUUUUCAUUCCUGGGCUACCAUACGGUCCCAAAGGCAACGUAACCAAUCUGGCGAAUUUCAAUGUGAAAAAACUGAAACGCAAGCCUUAUAUUUGACUCUGUAACUUUUGAAAACACCAUAAAACCUGUACAUGAGUAUACUCAGGAGACUUCGCUGAACACAAAUAUUAGUGUUUCAAAACAGUAAAACGUAUCACAACAAUUAUAUCUUCAGUGUAAGUGCCAAUUCCCCUAGUGUCCGACUGACAGGAAGGUAGUGUAAAUGAGGUUAGGGAGAGAGAAGAGGCACAGGAUCCCCAGAAAACAAGGGACCGGGUAAUCCGGUCUAAACGCAGAUGAAAAGCCUCACAAAAAAAAUAAAUAAAUAAAUCUCUCAAUUCACCCUAAAAGUUACCUCAACACCGUGGUCUAACCACUAGUGUCUACCUGAACCAACUCUCCCUACUAAAGUUAUAAAUAAAUAAACACCUAAAAAUCAAUAACCAUAGUGGUAACAAAAAUAAAAAAGUGCUACCAAGUGCAGAGGUUAAAGAAAAAGGAAACGCUCGACACGCGUUUCGGCAUGUUCAAAACGUCGUCGUCAGGAGCCUGCGAACAUGAGCAGCUUGUUGUUCCAUUUAAAUACCUAAUGCUGAUUAAACAUGCCAUCAGCUGUUCAAUGUGGGAGGUCCUGAGGGGCGGAGUAGCUAAACUCUAUUCUGCAGUCUACCAGGGGUGUAGAUAUAGAUUUCGUUCUACAUGUAUUUUGAUAUCAAUAUAUAUAUUAAUUUUAAAAUACAGUUAGAACGAAUUUACACAUAUAUUUUUUUUAACCUUAUUUACUUAUAUAUAUAUAUAUAUAUAUAUAUAAUCAAUAUCAUUGUACGUGUAUUUUGAUAUUAAUAUAUAUUUACAAUUAUAUAUAUAUAUAUAUUAAUAUUAUAAUACACUUAAACAGUGUAUGUGUAUGUAUAUAUGUGUGUACGUGUGUAUGUAUAUAUAUAUAUAUAUAUAUAUAUACACACAUACACACACUUAGAUCAUAUAUAUAAUAAAUACAUAUAUGAUCUAAGUAUAUAUUUUAAACUGUAACUUUUUUUUUACUAUUUACAGGUAGCAGGGGGAGUACCUGUAAUUACAGGCACUGCCCCUGCUGGCAUUGCUGUGGCCGGCUAUGCCGUCCAUGUGAUCGUGAGGUCCUCGCGAUCACAUGGCCCAGGGAGGCCGGAGAGGUAGGAGGGGGACUCCCUGGGCUCCCAGGAGAGUCCCCACACCGCGAUCGCUAGCGUGGGAUCGCUGGCGACCAGGUAAGUACACAGGAUGGCAUGGGCGUUCUAUGCCGCCCACCAGCGUUUAGAGCCGGGUCCCCAAGGACAUCAUAGAACGCCCACCGUCCUUAACCCCUUAAGUCCUAAGGUUUGUGAGGCAAAGCCUCUAUGCAUCAGAUUUGUUGUUCCAGCACAUCAGAUAUAUGCUCAAUCAAACUGAGCUCUGGCCAAGCCAACACCUUGAACAUGUUUGCCAUGUUUCUUAAGCUAUUCCUGAACAAUUUUUUGCUGUGUGGCAGGUGCAUGAUCCUGCUAAAAAAAAAGGAAACACCAUUGUCCAGCCAGAUUUACGACUGAGAGAAGAUAUUAAUAAAUACAUUAUCUGAUAAUUGAAGUCUGGCAUAGUCUGCUGUAUUGUAGGGAAAAAAACUGUUUGUAUAUUCUUCCCAAUGCUCACUUGUGAAAAGUCAUACCUGGAGACAAGAGGGCUGCAUUAUAUCCCUGGCAGAAAUGCAUUCUGCCCAGAAAGGUCAUAAUGUUUAUGUUAUAUGUAUAAUGAAGCAAUUUAGGGCUUUCCAUCUUUAUACCGCGAACAGUUUUUAGACUACAGCUUACAUUAUUUUAGGUCAGAAAUUUGUUGCAGACAAUUGUGAGUUAUGGUCCAAGAACAGCUAAUUAUGUUGUUCAUUUAGAAAAACUUUGCAUUAUACUGAUUCAAUAAACGUAUUUGCAGCUGCUACUAAACUAGAAUUCCAAUGAUUUUAGAGACAAGAAAUGAAGUGUAUUGCGGUCUUUGCAUAGUAUAAGUUCACAAAUGCUAAAAUAUUAUUAAGUUCACAAAUGCUAAAUAUCCAUUUUGUUUGACGUCAAGCUUGAACUUGAAUGGCAGCAAACGUCAGCAUUUUAUUUAAAGAUGUCCAACUAUAGACAGUAAUCCAUAGUUGUAAUCAAGCCCUCGUGUGCUAAAUCAAGUCACUAAUUAUAUUGUCAUGGUUACAAGGUACUUCGGAGAAGAGCUAUCAUUAUAAGUUAACCCAAGUACUGAGAGAGCCUGAUUUAACUCCAUAAAACUGCUGAAUAAACAUGCACGUUGCCCUCUUUAUUCAGCAAACAUUAGUGUCCUACGUGUAAGUAUCUGUUCCUUAUAGAAGCGCAAAAAAAUUGUUACUUAUUUUUCUCUCAUUUCUGUGACUGAUGCAAGGUAAAUGUACACUCCAAGUACCAUAGCCACUACAAUAUGCUGGUGCCUUCCAAUAUAAAUAGUCAACCCAUUUGCUAACAUUUUGACUUUUUCUGGGAUCUGCCUGGGGUUAGUCAAUGCUUUUCUGACAGCCAUACACUCUGUUUUAAGUUAAGCCCAGUGUUACAGGGUGUUAAGACCUGCAGUGGCUAUGGUGCUGCGGUCUUGAGUUCCCUCUCCCAACAGCUGAGCAUGAGUGAUUAUAGCUGCAGCAGGGAAUAGAGGAAUAAGAUAGAUGAAAUGCAGUUCCAAGGUGAUUCUUCCCAGCAAGUUGAAUAUCCCCCAAACAUGAGCCUAGACUUCAUGAAGGGUGUAACAGGAAUAACUUUUAUUGACAACACACAGGCUUUUAUGAGAAAUCCUCCUGCAAGAGGACCUCCCACCGCAAACAAAGACAAUAACCAAUCAACACACAGAUUUACAGUAAUACACGCCUCCUCUCUGCCUGGGAGAUAUUGAGAUAAGUUAAGGAAUAAACCAAUUAUCUCCAGGCAGAGAGCACACAAUUUCCCCAAAACUUAGAACACCCCUUUCCCCACAAGGUAUCCCCACAAAUUACAUAUCCCCUGAUAGCCCCGAUCUGGGGGACAAACAUAUCCAAAUUUCACCCAGAUCGGUUCAGGGGUUCUGAAAAAGUGUGGAGGGUCCCUUUUACCGACCACACACGCAGCUCCUGCCCAAAACAAUUCCAUGAAUUCAGCGUGUGCGCUCGGUCAAUUCACAAAACUGUAAAAAACGAACAAAAGUCCCAAAUGGAUCCCCCUGGCCCAUAGUAGCGAUUGCUCCCCUUGUCCGUUCGCACAGAACUACCGAAUGAGGCUUUCCUGGCUGUUCGGGAAAUAUGAGAAGCGGGCGUUCGGUAGUUUCCAGCGGUAGUUCGUAAGGUCGAGUGUCCGAUUUUAGUUCCAGAAACUCGACGACCAAAUCCCACUGGCUCUCCUCGUGCGAACAAGAUGGCCGCAGUUUUCUUUUCCAUGUGGCAUUCGUUUAUACGAACAGCGGCCGCCCAGGGAGCACUUAAUAGCUGGUUCCUUUGAAGUAAAUGAGCCAGGAGGGUGGUCGGCGUUCGGUAGUUUCAAACUACCGAACCAAUCCAUUCAUUAUACAAGAAAUAACACAUAAAAAUACUGAAUAAAAAGGAGAAAAUUACAGGUAAAAGUCAAUUUUCUUCACACAGGGCUUAGCUCAUGGACUGAGACUGAUCAGCAAACCCUCUCAUGCACUGAGCUGCCCUGCAUGGUAUGGUUUAGCUGAGGUGAGCCAAUGGAAGCUCCAUGUAGGAGACUCUGGUACUCCAUAGAUGCAGUGACUGGCACUAGCAGACUCCUGGUAAAAGGGUUAGCAAACAGUUUGACUACUUACAUUGGCACCAUAACUACAGGACUGCAUUUUCACUUUAAAAUAACAAUGCAUUCAUGUAAUGUUUAUUUUUGUAGUUAUCUGCUACUUUAACCCCUUCAGGACUGGACUGUUUUGACCAUGUUGUAUGUUAAGGACCAGAGCUGUUUUAACACUUUUGUGGUGUUUGUGUUUAGCUGUAAUUUUCCUCUCAUUUACUGUUCCCAUACAAGUUAUAUAUUGUUUUUUUCAGGCAAAAAAGGACAAAAGGGGCUUUAUUUACAUACCAUUAUUUGUAUCAUGUCAUAUAAUUUACUUUAAAAAAAAUAAAAGAUGGUGAAAAAUUUUAAAAAACAUGUUUUUUUUUACUUUUACUUGAAAAAUCUUUUACUUAUCUACAAAAACUUUAUUUAAAAAAACUGCUAAAUAGAUUCAAAAUUUUGUCCUGAGUUUAAAAACACCCAGUGUUUACAUGCUUUUUUUUUUGUUGCAAGUUAUAGGGCUAUAAAUACAAGUAGGAAAUUGCUGUUUCAAAAUAUAUAUUUUUAAAUUUUAUCAAUGGUAACAUUGUAACACUGUUAUCUGUCAUAAAUCUCUGAAUCACACCUCACAUUUACAUAUUUUUUUAAAGUAGACAACCCAGGGUAUUCAAUAUGGGUUACGUCCAGUCUUUUUUAGACGCUACUUAGUCACAAACACUGGCCAAAGAUAGCAUUUAUAUCUGUUUGUGUAUUAAAAAUGUAAAAAAACUAUUAUGAACGCUAACUUUGGUCAGUGUUUUUGACUAAGUGGCUGCUAAAAAAGACUGAACAUACCCCAUUUGCAAUACCUAUAUCCGACCCUGUAACUUUUUAAAAACACUAUAAAACCUGUACAUAGGGAGUACUGUUAUACUCGGGAGACUUCACGGAAUACAAAUAUUAGUGUUUCAAAACUGUUAAACGUACAAAAGGUACCAAGGGGCAUGAACCCUAAAUAUAUGAAACAGAACUGAAACCUAAAGUGGGGUGGAAAACCACUCACAUAUAGUACCUUUAAACGUAAAAAUUCGUACGAGUGGUAUAAACCUUUAAUAAAGUCGAAUAUUAAAAUAUGAAAAACCUAACUAAAAAAGUAGGUUAUAUGUACAAACCAAACACAAGUGACAAUAGUGAGCAAACAAGUGAAAGUACACCUUAAAAAUCUGUGUAUAAUAAAUUAUUUUAGAAAUAGAUAUUGCUUUUUGGAUGUUGGAUGUGUCAUUAUUAUUCAUUCUUUUCCAAAAACUUUUCUCUAUAUACAGUUCUUGGUCACAGUGUGUAUUACCUUUUAUCUUAAUAUUUGUGUAUCGAUUCCUUUUUGCUUCAUAGUGUUCUUAAAUACAAUUCCUUGUAUUGUACAUUGUUUUGUAUUACUUGUAGUGUUUCGUGUGUUAGUGUCUUAGUGUGAGGUAUAUCAAUUUUAUAAAAUCUAAAAAUGUAUUUUUCCCCUUUUUAAUUAACCUAAUCUUCCUAUUUUCUUUCUUCAAUUUCUGUUCUCUUUCUUUCUCUUACUCCUUUUAUCUCUCCUCUAGUGUUCCGUGUGUAUCUAUGAAUAUGCCGUACCCGCAAAAACCCAAAUUGCCAUUUCAAUCAACCAUCAACUUUUCAGAUUGUGUAUUUAAAUCUCUUUAACCUUCUAUCCCUUGCCCUCCCCAUCCCCCUUCCUGCCUCUUUCCUGUGCCAAACAGAAUAUCAUUUAAACUGAAAAAAACUUUUUAAAAAAAGUCAUCUUCCUCUUCUUUCUUGUCAUCUCCUUGCUCUGUCUUCUUCUUAGUAUAUGGAUAUACAUUCAUAUUCCGUGUUUCUUAAUGCCCAUUCACAUUCUCCUUCCUCUCACUUUCAUUCUCUUGAUUAUUGGCCAUCGACUUCUGGGAUCAGGUGUCUCUCUUGUAGCCAAUCUUUCAGCUUUUCUGGGGAGUAAAUUGCAUAUGUUCUUUUUUUCCUUUUUUUUUAUUUUUUUUAAAUUCUUUAUUUUUGUAGUGCAUAGGUUAGUUAACAAGCUUACAGUGACGUUCUGAUAUGAAAAAGUACAAUUAGAUUGAAAGCAAGAUCUUCAUAAAAUGUCAGAUAGAGCUUUUUUUGUUUGUUUGUUUAAUUGCAUAUGUUCUUAAAUCUUUAUAAUGCCAGAGUCUUACAUGGAAUCCCCAUCUGUAUUGAAUUUUGUUAGCUCUUAAAAUUUCUGUAUAUUUUUCGUAGGAUCUUUUGGUUCUUGUAUAUAUCGAUAAAUCUAAGUAAACGAUUAUUUUUUCAUAAGCAGCAUGAAUUUUUCCUUCUCUGAAUGAGUUUGUUAUGACUAGUUUCAUUUGAAAGGACGAACAGAUCAUGUCGUCUCUGGGGAUAUUUGUAUACAGAUGUUUAGGUUUGAGUAUCCUAUGCAAUGGUUCCAUUAAAGGGCCAUGUGUCUCAUUUUUUAUAUUUAAACUGGCAAACAAUUUGUUUCAAAAAAGGUUUUUCUGUGGUAACUUCUUUUAAGUUCCUUACUUUUAAGUUGCUGCAGUGUGACCUGUCUUCAAAGUCUGCGUGUUUUUGUUCCAAUUUUGCUUUUUAAUUGAUCAAUAUCAUUCUGGUUUUGUGUCGAUACUUGUUCCAUAUGUUUAAUAUUUUCAGAAUUUUCAAUUACUUUGCCAUUGAUGUUAAAUAAAUCCUUUUAAAACUCUUCUGAAAAGCAUUGAAUUUCGUUUUUGAUCUUUAGAAUUUGUAUUUCCAGAGCACUGUUAAGCAGAUAUCCAGUCACCCUUUGGAGCUCAGUUACUGUCUCAACUCUUUCUGCUCUCUCUUGUUCCCCACUCUUCGUUGUUUCAUCCAAAGAGUUGCUUUGAACCCCUGUUUUCUGAGGUUGAGGUGAAAAAAGAUAAACGUUUCUCCAAUGGUUCAUUUUUGUUCUCCAUUUUCUUGAGUUUUUCUAGCUGCCAUUUUGUAGCAUUGAAUUUGAAAUGAGGAGAAAACAAAAAGUCUGUUUGCUAUGUCUCCUGCAAAUCUCCAAGCCUAAAGCAGCCUAAAGACGUACUCCUUCUUCCACCUCUUAGCUCCAUUUGUUAAUUUCCUAUUGAUAUUUCCCCCACUCCCACCCUUUUUUUUCUUUCUUUUCCUUUUUCUCUUCUUUUUGUCCUCCUUUCUUACCAUUUUUAUAUAUUUUUUCCUUCACUCUCACUGCUUUUCUCACCUUACUCAAAAAAGUUAAGGUUUAAUGUAGCUAACUACCAAUCAAGGGAGCAAAGGGGACCGAGGUUUGAGAGGAGAGAAAUGAAAAACAAAAAAUAGGCACUGUUUAAUAUUGACAAACAAAAAUGCAAAAUUACAGUUUUAUUCUGUGUAUAUAUAUAUAUAUAUAUAUAUAUAUAUAUAUACACACACACACAGACAGAAUAAAAUUUUUAUUUCAAUUUUCUUUUCUUUCGGGGAGCAUACAGCUCACUCACAUGUCCUUAGUGUAAGGCAGGGGACCCCUUUCUCGAGAUCGAGUCUGCUGGUUGUGUAAAGCUAUUUCCACCACGCAGGGCUCAGCGUUCUCCACAGCACUAGUUCCUUAUUGCCAACAUAAACAGACAGUUCUCCACCUUAUACUGUCGGCGUCUGUCUCAUUUUCCUGUUGUUUUGUACAAGACUCCCAGGUCUUCCAGCCCUCGAGGAUGCUCUUCAACCCUGCAGAAGCAUUUCAGGGUUCUUACCAAGAGAAGUCUUCUUUAGAAAAGUUUUUAUCCCACUGCCAUCCAACCUAGAUCUAGGUUCAGUUAGCCACCUCAGAAGCCAUGGCAUUCUCCCUCCAUCCGUCUUCGACUGGCUCCUAAACCCACAAGCGGCAUGCUACAUCAUCGCUCCACCCCGAUGAUAUAAAAAAAAAAAAGUUUAAUUGCUCUUUAACAAGUUAAGGAACACAUACUCAUGUUAGAAAGGAAUUAAGAGACCCGAGUGAAGUUAUAGUUUCAAUUAUAGUAUAGGAGAGUGCUAAGUAAUCAAAACUGACACAAUGCUGAAACGAACAGGGUUGUUUACUCAAGAGAGAAUCACUGAGAAUUCAAAGUGAAUUUCAAAUUUAAGGUCAAAACAGCUAAAUAAAAAACAGAAUUUAGUUGGAGAAUGUUUCUUAGCUUACUAUUUUGGCCUUAGUUUUGAAGACACUAUAUCUUAUUUCUUUCCCAAAAUGCCAUACUUCUUAAAAAAUGUAUUCCAUUUCCAAGUGAUAUUACUUCAUCUAUAUCAUACUUAAUCCUGUCAGAUUUGCCACAUUUAAUUCAUCAAUUGUCAUAAAUGUUUACAUGAACUAUUACAAAUACUGGAUACAUGCUUGUCUAGAUUUUAUGUAAUAAAAAUGCUGACCUGGAUACCAUAAGUAAUAUUCUAUAUCCAACAUACUGCACCCACUUCAGUGUAAGUGCCCGCUAUUUUUGUGUGUGCAUUGACAGUGAAAGUAUGUGUUUCUUAGUUUGCAAUAUCAGUGUUUUUCUGUAUGUGCAAUGUCAGUGUAAGUAUGGAGGGUGUAGUGUCAGUUCAUAGUUACAUAGGCUGAAUAGAGACAUGUGUCCAAGUUCAGUCUUCCUCACAUUUGUUUUUUUGCUUUUGAUCCAAAAUUGAAUGCCAUUGAUUUUGUAUCAGUUUCUGAAGGCCAAUGUUAGUGUACAUGUAUUUGUUUCUGUGUGUGCAUGAAUGUUUGUGUGCAGUAAUAAGGCCUGGACUGGGUAAUGGCCAUGGGCAGUAGCUCCCGUAGGAUCUAUCUAACUGACUCCUGCAGUGCCCCUUGAGAAACAUGUAAAACACAUACUAAUUGAGACAGGAGGGGGGAGAUUGAACUGCUUUGUCUUACAUAUCAGAGUGUUGCUGUGGGUUACCAUGGCAAUGCUCUGAUACUUUCCUUUGUGCCAGCUGGGAGUAGAUGUUUGCAAUUGUUGGAUGUGCAGACAAAGUGCCCUUUCCACUGGACAACCAGGGUCCAAGGUAAGUGACAGGGAGGGGACAAUAAAUGUUUGAGAUUUUUAAAAGCCCCUGCCCCUACACAUUACAUCCUAUAUGCCCAAAAUAUGACAGCCCUUAUCCCCUACACACACUACAGCCCAUGUCUCCCCUAGCACUUCAGCCUCUAUGGCCCUCACCACAGGUUGUCUACCCCACACAUGCAACACCACAAGUAGGCUCUCCACACAAACACACAACACCCCAAGUAGUCUACCCACACACAAUAUCAGGAGCACCCUACCACACACAUGCAGCAUCAGGUAGGGUAAACUUCUUGGGGGCUUGUGUCUGUGAAUAUUUUUUUGUAGUGUAAAACACAUACAUUGCAAUAGCACAUGUAAAACACAUACAAAACCACCGGCAGCCUUCUCAUACACACACUCUCCCAAACCUGUCCCUCUUUUGUCUUCUGGUAUUCCACUAUGGGGACAGCAGAGUCACGUGUCUGUGCAUGCAGUGUCGCAUGCAUUUGGGUGUGUAGUGUGAAUGUAUUGUGUAAAUAAAGUGUUUGUAAUAUAAGUCUGUAUCCCUUGUUUGCCUUAUUCCUAUUACAUAAAAUAACCAGACCAGGUGUUUGGCAGAUCAUAUCUGAAGAUGUGUACCUGGGGAAAGAAAUGUGUAAGCAUUCCUGUAGGGAGUUUGGACAUUGCCUGUAGCUUAUGCCAUUUUUUUGAUUUUGAGUUUGAAGUAUGUAUUUUUUAUUUAAUUUUUUUUUGAAGAAUUUACAGUGUUUCUAGAUUUUCAGAUAUGGGAUAACAUUUCUAUGAGUUUUUUAUUUUGUUUAAGUGUUAGUUUUAUUUUAAAGGAGAUUAAUUUAUUAAGAAGCAUUAGUGAAUGUAAACUGUUCUGAUGUAAUAGCAAAUCAUUUUAUCGUGUUCACACAUCAGUCAGCAUACUGCUUUCUUUAUUAAGGGAAACCGUAUUCACCCUAAGCAUGUUAGUGACUAUUACUUAGAAUGUAGUCUCAUAAUUGUCCAGUGAGCAUUGCUAAGAAUUCAGUCUGAACAAAGGAGCAAUGUUAAAUUCUUGCAAACACAAAUGAUUUUACAAAUCAAUUAAUACAUGUCUCUUUCAUAUUCAGUUAACGAACAGUUGGCACAUACGCGUGACCCCAAGGAAGCCCUGCAGGAUUACUACCUCCUGUACAAGCAGCUAAAGACCUCUAAAUGGCAGCACUCCAGGAAAACGUAAAUUUAGUUCACAUCAAGCAAAGAGCAAGGACAGGAGAACAUUAUAUAAUGUUGCUAGCAAGUGAACUCACAUGGGAAUAGCAAAAAAAUCAAGAAGCGCUGCUUGCAGCAUCAGGAAUAAAAAAGGUGCUGCCAAUUAGGAUGUAUUUCUGGAAAAAGCUGUGUCCACCUAAGACUUUAAAGCCAGAGCUGUCGUGAAUGCAUCACUGAUGGAUUUUCUCAAGGUUACUGGCAGAGCCUUUGGAUCUGCCGCUCUAUUAUUUAUGCUUCAUCUGACCAAACAUCCAUAUUGUUACCUAAUAAUAAAAAAGCUGUAACCUUUCCCUUUUUCAACUCAGAAAUGAAUAUAUUUUAUGUAAUGAAACAUUACAAACUUGUUUUCGAUUUUAUAUUUUUAAAGGGACACUGGAGGCUUGAGUUGACCCAUUUUUAAUGCAUUAAAAAUAUAUACAAAAUAAUAAUAAAACAGAUAAUCACAUUUGACGUUUAUUUGCUGCACAACCUCAGGCCUUGCAGAUUCUUCUGUGAAUCCUGACCAGGAAUUCAUAACAUUAUGCACAACAGUACUUUUUGCAGCAUAUGUAGAAUCACUGCAGGCUGUGCGGAAGGGGCAGAAAGGGUAUUGCUGGUGGCACAAAAGUCAUUAAAAAAAAGAAAAAUAAACAUUAAUGAAAGAAAAUACAAAUUUUGUAAAAGCCUAAAUGUAGACCAGAUGGGAAAACUAGAUUUAAAUUGCUUUCCACUGUAAACAUUGUUAAUAAAUCAUAUUUAUGGCCUCUUUAUCGGUUUAGUGAUGCCAAUUACUAGUGAGACCAAUCUAAUGCAUAACAGUUAGCAAGUACCAGCACCCCCAUGGUUUAAUUAUGUGAUUGUUAAGGCAUAAUGCACUGAUAAUACUGCAGACAGCCAAUCAAUACUCAUAACUUACAUUUGUUGUUUUUCAUCCCCUUCUUCCUUGAAAUCCUUACAGGAAGACAUUUCAGAACAGGCAAAUAAAUAAAUUAAAGGACCACUAUAGGCAACCAGACCACUUCAGCUUAAUUAAGUGGUUUGGGUGCCUGGUCCAGCUUGGUUUAACCCUUUUUUCUAUAAACUGCUAUGUUUAUAUUAGGGUUAAUCCAGCCUCUAGUGGCUGUCUCACUGACAGACGCUAGAGGCGCUUGCAUGCUUCUCACUGUGAAAAUCACAGUGAGAAGACGCCAGCGUCCAUAGGAAAGCAUUGUGAAUGCUUUCCUAUGAGACUGGCUGAAUGCGCGCGCGGCUCUUGCCGUGCAUGAGCAUUCAGCCGAGGAAGAGGAGGAGGAGAGCUCCCCGUCCGGCGCUGGAGAAAGAAGUAAGAAAGAAGUAAGUUUAACCCCUUCCACCCCCUAGAGCCAGGUGGGAGGGGAACCCUGAGGGUGGGGGCACCCUCAGGGCACUAUAGUGCCAGGAAAACAAGUAUGUUUUCCUGGCACUAUAGUGGUCCUUAAAAGGUUAUUACUGUACAUGUGUGUGGGUGUUUUUAAUACAUCAGUAAGGCGAUAAAAAAGAGGUGAAAAAACAUGCCGACAGCAAAGUCAAGUUAUUUUAUUAAUACAUGAACACACUCUCAGACAGCCAAAAGAAAAAUCAACCAUGUGUUAUGUCGGAAAGCAGUAAGACAUAACUAUAAUUAGUUAUUUAUAUAGCACCAACAUAUUCCACUGUGCUGUUCAAUAGGUAAACAAGACAAACACUGGAACAGUACGUCGAGCCGUGGAGAGGUGGCCGCUCUUCCCAUCCCUACUUUUCCUUUGAAGCCUUGCUAACUCCCUAACUACGAAUUGAGUACCCCUGUAAGAUAUUAUUUCUUUGGGGAUAUCAUGUAAGUGAAACACUUCUUUGGCAAAGAUUUUGAGAGAUGAGGGUAAUUUAGGCAAAGUAAUAAAGUGAGCCAUUUUAGUGAAUCUGUCUACAACAGUCAAGAUUACAGUCUUUUUGUCUGACAUAUGUAGUUCAAUAAUAAAGUCUAUUGUUAUACUAACCCAUGGUUUGUUUGGUAUUUCUAAUGGUUGAAGCAGACCACAUGGGAGCGUAUUAGGUAAUUUGGUUUUAGCGCAAGUCUCACAAGCCAUAACAUAAUCUCUGGUAUCUUUACUUAUGGAAGGCCACCAGAAUUCAUUAGCUAUAAGAGAAUAAGUCUUAUGAAUGCAACUUUACUGUCAUGGAAUCAGGUAAGUAUUUCCAUUUGUAGGUCAGGAGGCACAUAAGUUUUACCUUCAGGUGCUUGUUCCGGUGCUUGGGAUUGUCUCUUCUCUAUCUCAGAGAUAAGAAGAUAUUGUAUCUUGAUCCGAGUAUUAGCUAUGAUAUAAAAGAAUACAAAAGAAGUAUAUUUCGCUUUAUAUUACCAAUACUUACCCUAUAUAGAGAGCACUAUUGGCUGUCUUUUGUUGUUCCAUAGACCUACCUCAACAUUAUCCUGAUGUGCCUUACUACUACUCUACUGUGCACCUGUAUCAGGAAUAUCCUGCAAGCAGGGAUUAAAAACCACCUAGAUUACCUAGAGCUGGUUAUAGCUCUACCAAAUGUAAGUUGACAACUGUUUUUAGUGUUGUUUGUCCUUUUUUCUACAACAUAACUGCACUAUUGUUUCGCUUUUGUUUUAUGCCUUUUUACAUAUACGGCAUAUACGGCUGUCAAGUGAAGUUGUCCAAUAAGGACUAGAAGACUUGUUGUUACCUUUAAGACUGUGCCUUUACCAAUAUGGUAUUUCCUUUACAUUUUUAUCUGGACAUUUUAUUGUGGACUUUUUCCUG
Molecule: non-coding RNA, 23277 nt
Organism: Pelobates cultripes (western spadefoot toad)
Lineage: Eukaryota; Metazoa; Chordata; Amphibia; Anura; Pelobatidae
Source: the annotation of a GenBank genome assembly